Molecule: ribosomal RNA, 440 nt
Filed under: uncultured bacterium
Lineage: Bacteria
Description: partial 16S ribosomal RNA
Rfam family: Bacterial small subunit ribosomal RNA
Source: RNAcentral
CCUACGGGAUGCAGCAGUGGGGGAUAUUGCACAAUGGGGGAAACCCUGAUGCAGCGACGCCGCGUGGGUGAAGAAGCGCCUCGGCGCGUAAAGCCCUGUCAGCAGGGAAGAAAAUGACGGUACCUGAAGAAGAAGCCCCGGCUAACUACGUGCCAGCAGCCGCGGUAAUACGUCGGGGGCAAGCGUUAUCCGGAUUUACUGGGUGUAAAGGGGGCGCAGACGGCGAUGCAAGCCAGGAGUGAAAGCCCGGGGCCCAACCCCGGGACUGCUCUUGGAACUGCGUGGCUAGAGUGCAGGAGGGGCAGGCGGAAUUCCGGGUGUAGCGGUGAAAUGCGUAGAUAUCAGGAGGAACACCGGUGGCGAAGGCGGCCUGCUGGACUGCAACUGACGUUGAGGCCCGAAAGCGUGGGGAGCAAACAGGAUUAGAUACCCGAGUAGUC